GCCUGGGUGGCUCAGUUGGUUAAGUGUCUGACUUCAGCUCAGGUAAUGAUUUCACAGUCUGUGAGUUCGAGCUCAGCAUCAGGCU
This is a non-coding RNA of Felis catus (domestic cat), 85 nucleotides long. The record is from Rfam. NCBI's taxonomy places the organism in Eukaryota, Metazoa, Chordata, Mammalia, Carnivora, Felidae.